RNAcentral lists this ribosomal RNA (251 nucleotides) under uncultured bacterium. RNAcentral describes it as "partial 16S ribosomal RNA". It matches the Rfam family "Bacterial small subunit ribosomal RNA", at positions 524 to 776 of the family's 1533-position model. The record is from RNAcentral.
GACGGGGGGGGGCAAGUGUUCUUCGGAAUGACUGGGCGUAAAGGGCACGUAGGCGGUGAAUCGGGUUGAAAGUGAAAGUCGCCAAAAAGUGGCGGAAUGCUCUCGAAACCAAUUCACUUGAGUGAGACAAAGGAGAGUGGAAUUUCGUGUGUAGGGGUGAAAUCCGUAGAUCUACGAAGGAACGCCAAAAGCGAAGGCAGCUCUCUGGGUCCCUACCGACGCUGGGUGCGAAAGCAUGGGGAGCGAACAGG